Molecule: long non-coding RNA, 791 nt
Organism: Manduca sexta (tobacco hornworm)
Lineage: Eukaryota; Metazoa; Arthropoda; Insecta; Lepidoptera; Sphingidae
Exons: 2
Source: RefSeq, a predicted model, not a curated record
AUACUUUUAUAAGGUUCUUCUAGAUUAUAUUGAGGGUAUUACAAAGCAUUUAAAGUCAACGAAUUGGUUUGGUAUGUUUUGGGAAGAAUCGCGACCACGGUAUGCGUUGGGGGAAAUUAGCGAAGACAAAAAAUGGACGACAAGAAGAACGUCUGCCACUACUUGAAGUAUUAUUUCCUAAACGGUUUCAAAAUGAAUAUCCAAUUGCAUUCAAUAAUUUUAAAGUUAACAGUAAUCGUUUGAUUACGCCUUAUGAUCUACACGAAACUCUGUUAGAUCUUACCAAAAUCGAUAAUUUGCAAAACAGUAAUUUAUCAAGGAGAUUAAAUCUAGUUAAUUCCAAGACAAAUAAAAGCAGUCUGUUUCUGCCUAUAUCAGAAAAAAGAACUUGUCCAUCCAUCGGCAUUGAAGAUCAUUGGUGUACAUGUUCAUUGGGACAACGAAUUAAAAUUACCAAAAAUAUCAGACUUUCGGCAUCCUGAUACCUAGUCAGCCACAUUAACAAGCUGUUAAGUGCAUACCCACAAUGUGAUAGACUAUCUUUGAAACAAAUAAUAAACAUUAAUGCGGUACAAGCCGAAAAAGACAAAGGCAAGAUUUUCACAGUAUCCAUAAAAACCACUCCAGGAGAUGCAGUGUUUGAUAGUACUUUAUAUCAUAGACUAAAACAAUGGGCGGUUUCUGGAAUGAUCAGCCGCCUUAAUCGUUAUAAUAAUCAGAGCAUUUGCGUUGAUGAUGCUAUAAUAAAACUGUAUUGUUAUUGCAGAUUAUAAUAUUGUUAACAUGACUUA